Molecule: non-coding RNA, 74 nt
Organism: Danio rerio (zebrafish)
Lineage: Eukaryota; Metazoa; Chordata; Actinopteri; Cypriniformes; Danionidae
Source: Rfam
GUCUCUGUGGCACAAUCGGUUAGCGCGUUUGGCUAUUAACUGAAAGGUUGGAGGUACAAGCCUACCCAGGGACG